UGCGGGAUGGCGCAGCUGGUAGCUCGUUGGGCUCAUAACCCAAAGGUCGUAGGUUCGAAUCCUGCCCCCGCUA
Molecule: transfer RNA, 73 nt
Filed under: Anaerolineae bacterium
Lineage: Bacteria; Bacillati; Chloroflexota; Anaerolineae
Description: tRNA-Met
Rfam family: tRNA
About the family: Transfer RNA (tRNA) molecules are approximately 80 nucleotides in length. Their secondary structure includes four short double-helical elements and three loops (D, anti-codon, and T loops). Further hydrogen bonds mediate the characteristic L-shaped molecular structure. tRNAs have two regions of fundamental functional importance: the anti-codon, which is responsible for specific mRNA codon recognition, and the 3' end, to which the tRNAs corresponding amino acid is attached (by aminoacyl-tRNA synthetases). tRNAs cope with the degeneracy of the genetic code in two manners: having more than one tRNA (with a specific anti-codon) for a particular amino acid; and 'wobble' base-pairing, i.e. permitting non-standard base-pairing at the 3rd anti-codon position.
Source: RNAcentral